GUCGGCGUCGUCACGCUCGAAACGGCGGCGGUGCCCGUCACGACCGAACUGACGGGCCGCACAAGCGCCUUCCUCGAUGCACAGGUCCGCGCGCGCGUCGACGGCAUCGUGCUGCGCCGCGAAUUUACCGAAGGCGGCCUCGUCAAGGCGGGUCAGCGUCUGUACAAGAUCGA
Molecule: non-coding RNA, 173 nt
Organism: Burkholderia sp.
Lineage: Bacteria; Pseudomonadati; Pseudomonadota; Betaproteobacteria; Burkholderiales; Burkholderiaceae
Source: Rfam